RNAcentral lists this long non-coding RNA (717 nucleotides) under Homo sapiens (human). Its description in RNAcentral is "HSALNT0387843". Lineage: Eukaryota; Metazoa; Chordata; Mammalia; Primates; Hominidae. The record is from RNAcentral.
UUGGGGCUCAGUUUCUCUGGGGGUGAGACUCGUGUGCCCUUGGGUUGGGGCUCAGUUUCAGCUUCUGCGACGGUGCCGGGCCCUUGCCCUUUCCUGGCCCCUGCUGCUUUGUGGGGUCUCUCAGGGCCCCCAAAGACUUCAGCGGAUGAAGGUCUGCAGGGACUGGGCAGGAAGGAGGCAAGGCCACACUCCCUGGUCCCGAAGCUCAGAGUGAGGUCUGAGCCUGCGGACGUGGAGGCCCUGCGCCCCAAUCUCACCCUGUGCCUCAGCUUCUCCCAAAAGCAGCAGCACUUUCCAGCACUCCUUGGAGCAGGACGCCGGCUUCCAUAUCCCAGCUAAGGGCAUUGCCCCAGCUGCACAGAUAAGGAGGAUGGGGAAACUGAGACACAGAGGGAGCUGUCCUCCAAGGAAGGCACCAAGACACCCUCAUGUUACAGAUGGGGAAACUGAGGCACAGGGAUGGGUCUGGAAACUGCAAGUGGAGGGGCCCCUGUGGCCUCAUCCCAGCGCACACCCUCACAAGGCAGUCCCCCCGAGACAGGGGCACAGCCCACAUUACAGGAAGGAGACUGAGGCCCCAGACCCAGUGACGGGGAAGGGGAACCCUGGGCAUUCCCCAGGGUCGGGGGUCAGGCCUCAGCCCCUUCCCAUCCUCCUCACAGCCUGGUUGAAACACAGAUGAGAUCGUAGCCUAGAGCCUGCCCUGGGCCCCUUAGA